Molecule: ribosomal RNA, 488 nt
Filed under: uncultured bacterium
Lineage: Bacteria
Description: partial 16S ribosomal RNA
Rfam family: Bacterial small subunit ribosomal RNA
Source: RNAcentral
AACGAACGCCGGCGGCGUGGAUAAGACAUGCAAGUCGAACGGGGCCAGGUUUGUAGCAAUACAAGCUUGGUUCAGUGGCGCACGGGUGCGUAACACGUGAGCAAUCUGCCGGGAAGUGGGGGAUAGCUCGCCGAAAGGCGAAUUAAUACCGCAUGUGGCCAUCCUUCGAGUGGAGGAAAAGCCAAAGCAGCAAUGCGCUUCCUGAUGAGCUCGCGGCCUAUCAGCUCGAUGGUGGGGUAAUGGCUCACCAUGGCAUUGACGGGUAGCUGGUCUGAGAGGACGACCAGCCACACUGGAACCGAGAUACGGUCCAGACACCUACGGGAGGCAGCAGUGGGGAAUAUUGGACAAUGGGGGGAACCCUGAUCCAGCCAUGCCGCGUGUGUGAAGAAGGCCUUAUGGUUGUAAAGCACUUUAAGCGAGGCGGAGGCUCUUUUGGUUAAUACCCAAGAUGAGUGGACGUUACUCGCAGAAUAAGCACCGGCUAA